Molecule: unclassified non-coding RNA, 148 nt
Filed under: uncultured fungus
Lineage: Eukaryota; Fungi
Description: sequence contains ITS1
Source: RNAcentral
GUAUUCUAUUCCGUAGAAUUAUCAAGACAUGCAUUAGAGACAGGCUGUAAUAGAUAGAUAGAGUGCACAAGGUGUGUGUGUAUGGAGGGUGUGCUACUUUGAGCGACAACCCACUGUAAUGAUCCUUCUGCAGGUUCACCUACAGAAA